Molecule: ribosomal RNA, 128 nt
Filed under: Actinomycetota bacterium
Lineage: Bacteria; Bacillati; Actinomycetota
Description: Actinobacteria bacterium partial 23S ribosomal RNA
Rfam family: Bacterial large subunit ribosomal RNA
Source: RNAcentral
UCAAGAUGAGGUUUCCCACCGGGUCAACCGGGUAAGGCCCCCAGCAGAACACUGGGUUGAUAGGCCGGAGGUGUACAGCAGUGAUGCCUAGCCGACCGGUACUAAUAGGCCGAGGGCUUGUCCCACAA